AAAUGGGUGAAGUUAGAAUUAAAUAAUUUUGUAUUUAUUUGAAGCAAACACUUGUCCUUAUGAUGUGUUUUAAAUGUUUAUAGCUGUUAGUUGAAGAAGGUUCAUCCACCUUUUUAUUGAAAUCCACUAACUCUUUAUAAGAAGCAUUCCUUCAUAAUUAAUUAUCCUACCUACUACAUCCAUCAAGAGAAACAAAAAGGCAUAGAAAGAUGUUUGGUUUUUUCAGAAACAAAAAGGCUAAAAUAUUCCUUUAAAUUAAGUCUCCGUCUCUUUGGUUUUUUCAUCUGCUGACUAUUUUUUUCGAAUAGAAGCUUUGUUGGCUUAGAAGAUGUUUAAAGAGUUCGAAUUUGGGCAAAAGAAGUAGAUGCAUCGGAGCUUCUAUUUUAAAAUGGGUUGAAAAAGUAGAUGCAUGGAGCUUCUAUUUUAAUAUGGGUUUGUGAAGUUGCAGCUUUCUUUGAAAUUAUAUGAAGUUGCAGAAAAAUAGAAACUUUUUUAAAGAAAGAAAACUGCAAUUAUAUUUCAUCUCCAUAAUGAGGCUAAGAGUAUGGAUGAUGUUUGGGAAGAAACAGUUGGUGUCGAUGGCCAAUUGUGGCUUUUGUGUCGUAUAUUUUUGAAAUUUCAGAAUACUGAAGGCAGUGUGGCUAUUGAAAGUUCAAAGGCUGCUGAAAUUGUUCUUAGUGAAAUUAUUCUGGCAUCAAAGGUUCACUGCAUAGUAUUCACUGAAUGAAUUGCACAGACUUGAUAUUGGCACUACCAUGGAAGAGUUGUAAGAAUGUUUCCAUAAAGGUUCUCUUAUGAGCAGGGGUGCACUCAAUAACAUUUCAUCCGGAUGGAAGAAUUGGACAUGAAGAUGCCUUAAAGGGACUUUUCAUAUUUUUCUGAUUAGAGGACUUGCGAGAGAUAGUAAAAUCCAAGAAGAUAGUGUUCUGGAGGCUGAAGUUGAGAUGUUCAAGAAGAUUUAAGAUCCAAUUCCUAGAUUUGAUUAUAAGCUGGUUUUUUAAUUACUGAAGACUGAAGUAUCUUGUUGGGAGCAACCUCUGUGAUGGAUGACACAGAUUGAGGCAUGACGAAGGCACUGGAGUUUUUCUUUCAAUUCACCUAAACGGAAGCCAUGCAUUAAGCAUGACGAAGGCACUGGAGUUUUUCUUUUAAUUCACCUAAAUGGAAGCCAUGCAUUAAGCAUGACGAAGGCACUGGAGUUUUUCUUUUAAUUCACCUAAAUGGAAGCCAUGCAUUAAGUUGCCACAUGUCAUUGAAUUAGGAGAUACACUUGUCAAGCAAAUGAUGUUCCACAUGUCAACCAAAGACCACUACUACACUCCUAUUAUAUAUUAAUAGAUUAAUAGAAGAUAGAAGAUAGAUUAACUAAUUUUAAGUGUGUAUUUGUAUAUUCUAUAUUAGUGAUUAAUUUUAGUAAUAGAUUUUAAGGAAAAGUCUAGGGCCAGCAAUUUUUAUGUUUUUUGGCCAACACUUAACCAUCAAAAUAAAAGUGAGUGAUCUCUUACCAUUAGAUGUAAUCUCACACCAUUAAAAAUACUAUUGAUGGCCAAUUAAUGAUUACAAAACACCAAAAUUGCUGGCCCCUAACAUUCCUUAGAUUUUAAUAUAAACCUAGCAUGGUUGCUCA
Molecule: non-coding RNA, 1627 nt
Organism: Arachis ipaensis
Lineage: Eukaryota; Viridiplantae; Streptophyta; Magnoliopsida; Fabales; Fabaceae
Source: RefSeq, a predicted model, not a curated record